RNAcentral lists this ribosomal RNA (468 nucleotides) under uncultured bacterium. Its description in RNAcentral is "partial 16S ribosomal RNA". It matches the Rfam family "Bacterial small subunit ribosomal RNA", at positions 28 to 507 of the family's 1533-position model. The record is from RNAcentral.
GACGAACGCUGGCGGCGUGCUUAAUACAUGCAAGUCGAACGGAAAGGCCCUGCUUUUGUUGGGUGCUCGAUAGGCGAACGGGUGAGUAACACGUGAGUAACCUGCCCUUGACUGUCGGAUAACUUCAGGGAACUGGGGCUAAUACCGGAUAGGAGCUCCUGCUGCAUGGUGGGGGAUGGUAAGUGUCGGCGGUUGGGGAUGGAAUCGCGGCUUAUGAGCUUGUUGGUGGAGUAGUGGCUUACCAAGGCUUUGACGGGUAGCCGGCCUGAGAGGGGGACCGGGCACAAUGGGCCUGCGGUACGGCGCAGACUGCUACGGGAGGCAGCGGUGGGGAGUCUUGCGCAAUGGGCCGAAGCCUGAUGCAGCAACGCCGCGUGCGGGAUGACGGCUUUCGGGUUGUAAACCGCUUUCGACUGUGACGAAGACUGAGUGACGGUACUGGGUAAAAAAGCACCGGCUAACUACGUG